Molecule: ribosomal RNA, 500 nt
Filed under: uncultured bacterium
Lineage: Bacteria
Description: partial 16S ribosomal RNA
Rfam family: Bacterial small subunit ribosomal RNA
Source: RNAcentral
AUUGAACGCUGGCGGCAGGCCUAACACAUGCAAGUCGAGCGGAUGAGGGGUGCUUGCACCCCGAUUCAGCGGCGGACGGGUGAGUAAUGCCUAGGAAUCUGCCCGAUAGUGGGGGACAACGUUUCGAAAGGAACGCUAAUACCGCAUACGUCCUACGGGAGAAAGUGGGGGCUCUUCGGACCUCACGCUAUCGGAUGAGCCUAGGUCGGAUUAGCUGGUUGGUGGGGUAAAGGCCCACCAAGGCGACGAUCCGUAGCUGGUCUGAGAGGAUGAUCAGCCACACUGGAACUGAGACACGGUCCAGACUCCUACGGGAGGCAGCAGUGGGGAAUAUUGGACAAUGGGCGAAAGCCUGAUCCAGCCAUGCCGCGUGUGUGAAGAAGGUCUUCGGAUUGUAAAGCACUUUAAGUUGGGAGGAAGGGUUGUAAGCUAAUAUCUUGCAGCUUUGACGUUACCAACAGAAUAAGCACCGGCUAACUCUGUGCCAGCAGCCGCCGUAA